UACGGAGGGUGCAAGCGUUAUCCGGAUUCACUGGGUUUAAAGGGUGCGUAGGUGGGAAUGUAAGUCAGUGGUGAAAUCUCCGUGCUUAACAUGGAAACUGCCAUUGAUACUAUGUUUCUUGAAUUUUUCUGGAGGUCAGCGGAAUAUGUCAUGUAGCGGUGAAAUGCUUAGAUAUGACAUAGAACACCAAUUGCGAAAGGCAGCUGGCUACAGGGAUAUUGACACUGAGGCACGAAAGCGUGGGGAUCAAACAGG
Molecule: ribosomal RNA, 255 nt
Filed under: uncultured bacterium
Lineage: Bacteria
Description: partial 16S ribosomal RNA
Rfam family: Bacterial small subunit ribosomal RNA
Source: RNAcentral